Pteronotus mesoamericanus is the source of this 120-nucleotide small nucleolar RNA. RefSeq annotates it as small nucleolar RNA SNORA61. The transcript has a single exon. The record is from RefSeq and is a predicted model, not a curated record. Lineage: Eukaryota; Metazoa; Chordata; Mammalia; Chiroptera; Mormoopidae.
ACCCUUCAGUUCCCUUUCCCAUCGGAUCUCAACACGGGUCUUGGUGGUCAUAAAAGGAGGAAAAGUAAAACUGAAGCUGGCCUCUCAGCUCUGUAGCAUGUGGGCUAGUUUCAAACAAAG